UACUGUGAAACUGCGAAUGGCUCAUUAAAUCAGUUAUAGUUUAUUUGAUGGUACAUUGCUACAUGGAUAACUGUGGUAAUUCUAGAGCUAAUACAUGCAAUCAAGCCCCGACUUCCGGAAGGGGUGUAUUUAUUAGAUAAAAAACCAACGCGGUUCGCCGCUCCCUUGGUGAUUCAUAAUAACUUCUCGAAUCGCAUGGCCUUGCGCCGGCGAUGCUUCAUUCAAAUAUCUGCCCUAUCAACUUUCGAUGGUAGGAUAGUGGCCUACCAUGGUUUCAACGGGUAACGGGGAAUAAGGGUUCGAUUCCGGAGAGGGAGCCUGAGAAACGGCUACCACAUCCAAGGAAGGCAGCAGGCGCGCAAAUUACCCAAUCCCGACACGGGGAGGUAGUGACAAUAAAUAACAAUAUAGGGCUCUUUUGGGUCUUAUAAUUGGAAUGAGUACAAUUUAAAUCCCUUAACGAGGAACAAUUGGAGGGCAAGUCUGGUGCCAGCAGCCGCGGUAAUUCCAGCUCCAAUAGCGUAUAUUAAAGUUGUUGCAGUUAAAAAGCUCGUAGUUGAACUUCAGACCUGGCCGGGCGGUCUGCCUCACGGUAUGUACUGUUUGGCCGGGUCUUACCUCUUGGUGAGCCGGCAUGCCCUUUACUGGGUGUGUCGGGGAACCAGGACCUUUACCUUGAGAAAAUUAGAGUGUUCAAAGCAGGCCUAUGCCCGAAUACAUUAGCAUGGAAUAAUAAAAUAGGACGUGCGGUUCUAUUUUGUUGGUUUCUAGAGUCGCCGUAAUGAUUAAUAGGGAUAGUUGGGGGCAUUAGUAUUCAGUUGCUAGAGGUGAAAUUCUUGGAUUUACUGAAGACUAACUAUUGCGAAAGCAUUUGCCAAGGAUGUUUUCAUUAAUCAAGAACGAAGGUUAGGGGAUCGAAAACGAUCAGAUACCGUUGUAGUCUUAACAGUAAACUAUGCCGACUAGGGAUCGGGCGACCUCACUUUUAUGUGUCGCUCGGCACCUUACGAGAAAUCAAAGU
This 1021-nucleotide ribosomal RNA is filed under the name Pallidohirschioporus polycystidiatus. RNAcentral describes it as "SSU rRNA". It matches the Rfam family "Eukaryotic small subunit ribosomal RNA", at positions 77 to 1104 of the family's 1831-position model. Lineage: Eukaryota; Fungi; Basidiomycota; Agaricomycetes; Hymenochaetales; Hirschioporaceae. The record is from RNAcentral.